This 394-nucleotide ribosomal RNA is filed under the name Bacillus sp. R-26267. RNAcentral's name for it is "bacterial SSU rRNA". It matches the Rfam family "Bacterial small subunit ribosomal RNA", at positions 89 to 479 of the family's 1533-position model. The record is from RNAcentral. Lineage: Bacteria; Bacillati; Bacillota; Bacilli; Caryophanales; Bacillaceae.
AMNUUAGCGGCGGACGGGUGAGUAACACGUGGGCAACCUGCCCCUUAGACUGGGAUAACUCCGGGAAACCGGAGCUAAUACCGGAUAAUCCCUUUYUCCACCUGGAGAGAGGGUGAAAGAUGGCUUCGGCUAUCACUAGGGGAUGGGCCCGCGGCGCAUUAGCUAGUUGGUAAGGUAACGGCUUACCAAGGCRACGAUGCGUAGCCGACCUGAGAGGGUGAUCGGCCACACUGGGACUGAGACACGGCCCAGACUCCUACGGGAGGCAGCAGUAGGGAAUCUUCCGCAAUGGACGAAAGUCUGACGGAGCAACGCCGCGUGAGUGAGGAAGGCCUUCGGGUCGUAAAGCUCUGUUGUGAGGGAAGAAGCGGUACCGUUCGAAUAGGGCGGUACC